RNAcentral lists this ribosomal RNA (813 nucleotides) under uncultured bacterium. RNAcentral describes it as "bacterial SSU rRNA". It matches the Rfam family "Bacterial small subunit ribosomal RNA", at positions 18 to 818 of the family's 1533-position model. The record is from RNAcentral. RNAcentral also lists the same sequence under 1 other name.
UAUGGCUCAGGAUGAACGCUAGCUACAGGCUUAACACAUGCAAGUCGAGGGGAAACGACAUCGAAAGCUUGCUUUUGAUGGGCGUCGACCGGCGCACGGGUGAGUAACGCGUAUCCAACCUGCCCAUCACUUGGGGAUAACCUUGCGAAAGUAAGACUAAUACCCAAUGAUAUCUCUAGAAGACAUCUGAAAGAGAUUAAAGAUUUAUCGGUGAUGGAUGGGGAUGCGUCUGAUUAGCUUGUUGGCGGGGUAACGGCCCACCAAGGCGACGAUCAGUAGGGGUUCUGAGAGGAAGGUCCCCCACAUUGGAACUGAGACACGGUCCAAACUCCUACGGGAGGCAGCAGUGAGGAAUAUUGGUCAAUGGGCGAGAGCCUGAACCAGCCAAGUAGCGUGCAGGAUGACGGCCCUAUGGGUUGUAAACUGCUUUUAUAAGGGAAUAAAGUGAGUCUCGUGAGACUUUUUGCAUGUACCUUAUGAAUAAGGACCGGCUAAUUCCGUGCCAGCAGCCGCGGUAAUACGGAAGGUCCGGGCGUUAUCCGGAUUUAUUGGGUUUAAAGGGAGCGUAGGCCGGAGAUUAAGCGUGUUGUGAAAUGUAGACGCUCAACGUCUGCACUGCAGCGCGAACUGGUUUCCUUGAGUACGCACAAAGUGGGCGGAAUUCGUGGUGUAGCGGUGAAAUGCUUAGAUAUCACAAAGAACUCCGAUUGCGAAGGCAGCUCACUGGAGCGCAACUGACGCUGAAGCUCGAAAGUGCGGGUAUCGAACAGGAUUAGAUACCCUGGUAGUCCGCACGGUAAACGAUGGAUGCCA